CCUACGGGAGGCUGCAGUGGGGGAUAUUGCACAAUGGGGGGAACCCUGAUGCAGCGACGCCGCGUGGGUGAAGGAGCGUUUCGGCGCGUAAAGCCCUAUCGGCAGGGAAGAAGGAGGACGGUACCUGACUAAGAAGCCCCGGCUAACUACGUGCCAGCAGCCGCGGUAAUACGUAGGGGGCAAGCGUUAUCCGGAUUUACUGGGUGUAAAGGGGGCGCAGACGGCAGCGCAAGCCAGGAGUGAAAGCCCGGGGCCCAACCCCGGGACUGCUCUUGGAACUGCGCGGCUGGAGUGCAGGAGGGGCAGGCGGAAUUCCUGGUGUAGCGGUGAAAUGCGUAGAUAUCAGGAGGAACACCAGUUGCGAAGGCGGCUCUCUGGACUGUAACUGACACUGAGGCACGAAAGCGUGGGGAGCAAACAGGAUUAGAUACCCGAGUAGUC
RNAcentral lists this ribosomal RNA (441 nucleotides) under uncultured bacterium. RNAcentral describes it as "partial 16S ribosomal RNA". It matches the Rfam family "Bacterial small subunit ribosomal RNA", at positions 338 to 795 of the family's 1533-position model. The record is from RNAcentral.